This 1907-nucleotide long non-coding RNA is filed under the name Marmota monax (woodchuck). Lineage: Eukaryota; Metazoa; Chordata; Mammalia; Rodentia; Sciuridae. The record is from RNAcentral.
CUACCCCUAUUUCACAGAGGGGGAAUUCACACUCAGGAAGCUGAACCGACUUGCCCGCGGUCACCCUGUCAGCACAGCCGGGUAGGUGGAUUCCAGCUCAGUCUGGCCGCCAGGUCUGGCUCUCAGCCUCUCUGUGUUCUCGGCCUCUCUGUGCUCUCAGCCUCCCCACCGGCUGCCUUCUUGUUGUCCCUCUUCCCUUCCAGCCUUGUAGAGGAGGACCCACGGGGUGUCGGGUAAGAUCCAGGGAACCAGGUGGGCGUGGGGUGGGGAGGCCCCCUACGUGCUCGGGCUCUCCCAAGGGCAGGGCAGCUAGCAGCUGGUGUCCCUGCUGGCACCGAGUCUUCUCAGGCCACCCAGACCCUCCCCAACAUAUUUUCCAUCAUAAACCACGGGACCUCCAUCUACUUCUGUGUAGACAUUCAUCUACUUCUGUGUAGACGGUUAGCAAGAAAAACCAGAAGGUGAGGUAAGAGUUCCGACGUCAGGGGCGAGCUCGGCCUCUGGGUAGAGAGGUGGGGACGUCUCCUCACGACCUUUUUCUCUUUUCCUUGCUGCUUGCUUCCCGUCCCCGUCUGACAAACGUGGCGGCAGGCACCCCAGGAGUCGUUUCCUCUGCACCUUCUACUGAUGUCCAGGAGAGGCCCCUGCUUGGACUUCUCCUGGGAUACCACCAAGGAUCUGCUCUCCAGCCCAGGUCUGGCUUCCUCUGCACCAGGCUGGAGAAGCCUCGGGCCUCGUUUCUCUUGGACGACUUGAGUGCGUCCUGGAAUCUCCGACCUUCCUAACUGCUCUGGACUCGGCCUCCUGUCUGAGCGGCGGAUGCUGGUGUUUACGUCAAUCUCCUGACUGUGGUUCCUGACUGCUGAUAGGUCCACGAAGCUCACGGGUUCUUUCCCCCAAUUCUCUGGAUUGUCCAAAAAUUCUCCCAGUCCUGUCCUUGGUCGUGGGGUACGGAGCAAUCUCUACUGGCCAAAGGAUGUGACAUUUUCUGUAGUCUUAGGCAACACACCAGGAGGAAACCUGUGACCAGUGCCAGCAGGGGCCUGGGGGGUCCGUGCCCAGCAGCCUGGAGGCCGUCAGGGUGGCUGAGACUCUUCUGUCCACAGUGGCCGCAGCCUUUUUAUUAACCUAACCCUCAACUGGGGUUUGACCCUUUGAACCUCCCUCCUGCAGGCUCUGAGACUGCGCCCCUCCUCUUGUCUCCCAGGGCUAGGGAGAGAGUCCCAGCCCAGAUCUGGAUAAAGGUGAAGUGACAGAGUCACUUUAGAAGCUUGAAAUGGACCAGAGUCUUUUGUGGGAGUGUUGCACUGGGCUUGAAUAUGGGUGUGCUCUACCACUGAGCUACUUCCCCAGCCCCUUUUACUUUUUAUUCCGAGACAGGAUCUCACUAAGUUUCCCAGGCUGGUCUCGAACUUACGAUCCUCCUGCCUCACCAUCCUGAGUGCCGGGCCCAGCACUGCACCCAGCCCAGAUCAGAGCCUUAGAUGUUAAGAGCGAAAACGGUAAAACUCUUGAAGAAAACAUAGGAGGAAAUAUCUGGUGAUGUUGGAUUACACACAUGAGACCCAAACUAUAGAAACAUAAUAGACAAUAAAUAGACAAAUGGACUUCAGCAAAAUUAAACACUUCUGUGCUUCAAAGGACAUGAAGAAAGAGAAGAGGUAAGCCACAGGAUCAGAGAACACCUCUGCAAAUCACACAGCUGACAAGGGACGCAGAGCAGCAUACAGAGGUCCUGUGACUUGCUAAUAAAAGACAAAUAAGACAAUUUAAAAAUGGGCAAAGAAUUUCAAUGGAAAUUCCCCCAAAGAAUAGGUACUCAUGGCAAUAAGAGGUGCUCAGUGCUGUUGGUCAUUAGGGGGAUCAAAUCAAAGCCACAAAUCACCUCCGCUAGCAACACUGCGAGA